UCUUUGGUAGUAUAUUGGUUAGUGCACGCGCCUGUCAUACGUUGAUACUCCCUAUCCUUCGCGCGAGAGCUGGGUUCGACUCCCAACCAAAGAG
Desarmillaria tabescens is the source of this 94-nucleotide non-coding RNA. Lineage: Eukaryota; Fungi; Basidiomycota; Agaricomycetes; Agaricales; Physalacriaceae. The record is from the annotation of a RefSeq genome assembly.